RNAcentral lists this transfer RNA (53 nucleotides) under Romanomermis iyengari. RNAcentral's name for it is "tRNA-Glu". Lineage: Eukaryota; Metazoa; Nematoda; Enoplea; Mermithida; Mermithidae. The record is from RNAcentral.
AAAUAUAUAGUGUAAUUGCAUAAGAAAUUUUCAAUUUCUAGGUAUUAUAUUUU